GACGUAGGGCGCGAGCGUUGUCCGGAUUUAUUGGGCGUAAAGAGCUCGUAGGCGGCUUGUCGCGUCGAAUGUGAAAUCUCAGGGCUCAACUCUGACAUUGCAUUCGAUACGGGCAGGCUCGAGUUCGGUAGGGGAGACUGGAAUUCCUGGUGUAGCGGUGAAAUGCGCAGAUAUCAGGAGGAACACCGGUGGCGAAGGCGGGUCUCUGGGCCGAUACUGACACUGAGAAGCGAAAGCGUGGGGAGCGAACAGG
This 253-nucleotide ribosomal RNA is filed under the name uncultured bacterium. RNAcentral describes it as "partial 16S ribosomal RNA". It matches the Rfam family "Bacterial small subunit ribosomal RNA", at positions 524 to 776 of the family's 1533-position model. The record is from RNAcentral.